AUGAGAUAUCGGCGGCCUCCCUUGAGGUGGACCGCCGGACACAAUGAAUAUCCUCGCGUGGAACUGCCGGGAGGGGGGAGGACAGUUCGAGAUGUGUUGGCCCUCUCUAAAGCCAACGUACCCAACCUAGUCUUCUUAAGUGAGACUAGGCAAGAUGUGGUGAGAAUGGAAAAGCUGAAGUGGAGAUUGGGGUUAAAAGGAUUCCAUGGUGUGAGUUCGGAUGGAAGAAGUGGUGGUUUGGCCCUCUUUUGGGAUGAAGCCCUG
Molecule: ribosomal RNA, 264 nt
Filed under: Triticum aestivum (bread wheat)
Lineage: Eukaryota; Viridiplantae; Streptophyta; Magnoliopsida; Poales; Poaceae
Description: partial small subunit ribosomal RNA
Source: RNAcentral